CACGUAGGGUGCGAGCGUUGUCCGAAAUUAUUGGGCGUAAAGAGCUCGUAGGCGGUGUGUCGCGUCGGCCGUGAAAACUUGCAGCUUAACUGUGGGCGUGCGGUCGAUACGGGCAUCACUGGAGUUCGGCAGGGGAGACUGGAAUUCCUGGUGUAGCGGUGAAAUGCGCAGAUAUCAGGAGGAACACCGGUGGCGAAGGCGGGGUCUCUGGGCCCGAUACUGACGCUGAGGAGCGAAAGCGUGGGGAGCGAACAGG
This 256-nucleotide ribosomal RNA is filed under the name uncultured bacterium. RNAcentral describes it as "partial 16S ribosomal RNA". It matches the Rfam family "Bacterial small subunit ribosomal RNA", at positions 524 to 776 of the family's 1533-position model. The record is from RNAcentral.